AAGGCUUGGACCUAGAUAGGUCGAUAACAUAGGGUGAGACCAACCCUUGAGUAAUGUAAAGUGGAUUCCGGAAUCCCUGCUGCUAGUGCAGCGGCUGCUAGAGCAGCAUACAAGCUCGAUAGUUCUUGGCCGCGGGUGCAUGUGGCAUAUUCCUCUCCCACCGGAAGAACUUCGAGGCUUGUUAAUGAGCAAGAACAAUGAGCGCUAGGGUGUAUGUGACAUGUUCCUCUCCCUAUCGGGGAUCUCGGCUGCGGGUGUAUGCGGCAUGUUCCUCUCCCACCGGGGGAUCCCUGACCACGGGUGCACGCAGCUCUCGGCGACCCGUUGGGCGAUGUGGUUUGUGAUUGAAGGCUGAGGUGCAUGUGAGAGUUCCUUCACCUCGAGCCGGACAGAGCGCGGAUUAUCCGCAGUUGAUUGACUCAAGACCGAGUCGGAUGGCAUAGUUGGCUAAGGUAAAGUAACCUUAGGAAAGAAAGGCUAAUGCGUAUAAUAUUACUAAGGUGUGAGUACCCUUAGUAAAGCGUAAAGAAUAAAGAAUAAAGAAUUAAGAAUAAGGAAAGGCUAAUGGUAAAGAAUGACAAGUAAUAAAGAAUAAAGAAAGGUUAAUGCUAAAGAAUAGCUAGUAAAGUAAAGAAUGAGUAAAAGUAAAGAAUGGAUAAGAAUAAAGUGUAGAAUCAAUUAAUCUACCUAUACGAGUUGCAUGGUUUGCAUAUUGCAUGUUGUGAGGCAAAAGCAUGGUAAUGUUAGUUGCAUGAUUUAUGAUUUCAUAUCUAUCUGUUGGACUAACAUGUUGUUUGCCUCCUUUGGACCUGAUGGUCGAGCUCUUCCCUUGAGUGGUCAUACCCACUCGGAACUAUGGAGUUAGUUCUCACCCCACGCUGUUUCGGGGUAUUACAGAUUCACACGUGAGCGGCGCGGCGGCGCGAGGAAGGGGCGUAGCUCCGUAGUUAGCGCCCUACCACUAAGACCAGAUAGCAGCACCCUGAGUCGGCUUCUUAGGGUAUAAAAUGCAAAGAACCAAGAGUGUGAUAAUUGUAAGAACAAUGUUGUAAUAGCUAUGUUGAAACUAGAUGUCACGCCCCGGGACCGAUGCCAAUUUGGCCCGACCCGAGCACGUCAAACAGACGCCGAACGGACAGAGUUUCCCCUAUCCGCCCAAGGCUCAUCACAUGUACAUUUUCAAUAAGAAGUGCACUAGCGGAAACAUACACAAACGGCUUACUCGAGGGUAAGCAAUAGCCAUUAGUGAAAGAAAAAGGAAACUAAACAUUCACAAGUAACAUGAUUCAUUUUGGAUCAUAUACAUUGCAUUCAUCGAGUAACUUUUGAAUUCUUUGCAUUUCAUUAUAUAGCUUCAUCAUUUCUUUCUUACAUUACAUUUACCUCAAAAUGAACAUUACAUUCUUUUCUUUACUUUGCUUUUUACAUCAACAUCUUAAAUCAUCAAAUACCAAGAUGAUAAAAGGGGUAAACUACUAACAAAAUGUAACCCAACUCCGGUGGCCUCUGACUACGGUGCGAUACCUUUACCGCGGUCGCUCGCCGGCUCGCUCGGUCCCGGCUCUGUAGAAAUAGUGGGGUGAGAACUACAACAAAGUUCCCAGUGGGUUCGGCCCCAACAUCACCGACUUUCCCACUAGGACUAACUCAGGCAUAAUAGAAAGGAUAAGUAAGAUAUAGUAACCAAUCUAUAACAUGAUGCUAAUAUGCCUGAACAAAUAGCAAGAAAUAUGCUCAACAUUAAAUAGAUGCAGGUUAUGCAUGUUCUUUCGUUCUUUACACUUUACACUUUGUUCUUUGUUCUUUGUUCUUUAAUCAUUAAGGCUAGCCCGGGGGUUUCGCCACUUUAACUUGCUUCACAUUAAGUCCAUCAUCGCAGGAACUCACCAGCUAGGACCGUCCUUUCGGGUUUACUCCAACCCGGAUGCAUAACUCCGGAGCGCAUCGCCCGAGGGGGAGCGACCACCCUCGAGCACGGAACUCAUAGCAAGUAUGAUCAUAUCCUUAACUCAAAGGAUUAUAAGUUCAAUCUGGACUUUACACUAGCUCCAGUGUUCUUUACAUCACUUUAUGUUGCAAACUCAUGCAAUCACAUUCUUUACAUUUUCAUUUCUCUUGCUAACUCUAGCAUUCUUGUUCUUAUUGCCCCAUUUUACUUUUUAACUUUACACGUUGUCACUUUCUUCAUUCUUUACAUCACUUUGGUUCUUUACAUUACACUAACUCUAGUGUCAUUUCACAUUAGCUUUAUCGAAUGCCACUCGAUCUAUGUCAUGUGCCACUCUGUUCUUUUGCUCACUUUGGGUGCUCACAUUUUCUCUCAUGCAUACAUCUAGGGUUUUAACAUUAUUAGGUUCUCAACCAUCUCAUUAUGCAAGUUGUGCUCACAAUCAUGCAAUCAUCAUAUCUCAUCAUUACUUUACCCUAAAAUGCAUGCAACAAUA
This 2444-nucleotide long non-coding RNA is filed under the name Ananas comosus (pineapple). RNAcentral describes it as "long non-coding RNA (ACOM_LNC035090)". Lineage: Eukaryota; Viridiplantae; Streptophyta; Magnoliopsida; Poales; Bromeliaceae. The record is from RNAcentral.